ACUCAAAUGAAUUGACGGGGGCCCGCACAAGCGGUGGAACAUGUGGCUUAAUUCGAUGCAACGCGAAGAACCUUACCUGGUUUUGACAUGCAGUGGACAGAGUGUGAAAGCACUUCUCCUUUCGGGGCUGCUGCACAGGUGCUGCAUGGCUGUCGUCAGCUCGUGUCGUGAGAUGUUCGGUUAAGUCCGUCAACGAGCGCAACCCUUGUCCUUAGUUGCCAGCGGGUAAUGCCGGGGACUUUAAGGAGACAAACCUCUUUUAGAGGUGGGAAGGUGGGGAUGACGUCAAGUCAGCAUGGCCCUUACAACCAGGGCUGCACACGUGUUACAAUGCCCAGUACAGAAGGACGCAAGACCGCGAGGUGGAGCAAAUCCCAAAAGCUGGGCCCAGUUCAGAUUGAAGUCUGCAACUCGACUUCAUGAAGCCGGAAUCGCUAGUAAUGGCGUAUCAGCUACGACGCCGUGAAUACGUUCUCGGGCCUUGUACACACCGCCCGU
RNAcentral lists this ribosomal RNA (498 nucleotides) under uncultured bacterium. RNAcentral describes it as "partial 16S ribosomal RNA". It matches the Rfam family "Bacterial small subunit ribosomal RNA", at positions 899 to 1397 of the family's 1533-position model. The record is from RNAcentral.